Molecule: ribosomal RNA, 1216 nt
Filed under: Salmonella enterica
Lineage: Bacteria; Pseudomonadati; Pseudomonadota; Gammaproteobacteria; Enterobacterales; Enterobacteriaceae
Description: partial 23S ribosomal RNA
Rfam family: Bacterial large subunit ribosomal RNA
Source: RNAcentral
AGGCACGCUGACACGUAGGUGAAGUGAUUUACUCAUGGAGCUGAAGUCAGUCGAAGAUACCAGCUGGCUGCAACUGUUUAUUAAAAACACAGCACUGUGCAAACACGAAAGUGGACGUAUACGGUGUGACGCCUGCCCGGUGCCGGAAGGUUAAUUGAUGGGGUCAGCGCAAGCGAAGCUCCUGAUCGAAGCCCCGGUAAACGGCGGCCGUAACUAUAACGGUCCUAAGGUAGCGAAAUUCCUUGUCGGGUAAGUUCCGACCUGCACGAAUGGCGUAAUGAUGGCCAGGCUGUCUCCACCCGAGACUCAGUGAAAUUGAACUCGCUGUGAAGAUGCAGUGUACCCGCGGCAAGACGGAAAGACCCCGUGAACCUUUACUAUAGCUUGACACUGAACAUUGAGCCUUGAUGUGUAGGAUAGGUGGGAGGCUUUGAAGCGUGGACGCCAGUCUGCGUGGAGCCGACCUUGAAAUACCACCCUUUAAUGUUUGAUGUUCUAACGUGGACCCGUGAUCCGGGUUGCGGACAGUGUCUGGUGGGUAGUUUGACUGGGGCGGUCUCCUCCUAAAGAGUAACGGAGGAGCACGAAGGUUGGCUAAUCCUGGUCGGACAUCAGGAGGUUAGUGCAAUGGCAUAAGCCAGCUUGACUGCGAGCGUGACGGCGCGAGCAGGUGCGAAAGCAGGUCAUAGUGAUCCGGUGGUUCUGAAUGGAAGGGCCAUCGCUCAACGGAUAAAAGGUACUCCGGGGAUAACAGGCUGAUACCGCCCAAGAGUUCAUAUCGACGGCGGUGUUUGGCACCUCGAUGUCGGCUCAUCACAUCCUGGGGCUGAAGUAGGUCCCAAGGGUAUGGCUGUUCGCCAUUUAAAGUGGUACGCGAGCUGGGUUUAGAACGUCGUGAGACAGUUCGGUCCCUAUCUGCCGUGGGCGCUGGAGAACUGAGGGGGGCUGCUCCUAGUACGAGAGGACCGGAGUGGACGCAUCACUGGUGUUCGGGUUGUCAUGCCAAUGGCACUGCCCGGUAGCUAAAUGCGGAAGAGAUAAGUGCUGAAAGCAUCUAAGCACGAAACUUGCCCCGAGAUGAGUUCUCCCUGAGACUUAGAGUCUCCUGAAGGAACGUUGAAGACGACGACGUUGAUAGGCCGGGUGUGUAAGCGCAGCGAUGCGUUGAGCUAACCGGUACUAAUGAACCGUGAGGCUUAACCUUACAACGCCGAAG